RNAcentral lists this transfer RNA (68 nucleotides) under Limosilactobacillus reuteri. RNAcentral describes it as "Lactobacillus reuteri tRNA-OTHER". It matches the Rfam family "tRNA". From Rfam's summary of the family: Transfer RNA (tRNA) molecules are approximately 80 nucleotides in length. Their secondary structure includes four short double-helical elements and three loops (D, anti-codon, and T loops). Further hydrogen bonds mediate the characteristic L-shaped molecular structure. tRNAs have two regions of fundamental functional importance: the anti-codon, which is responsible for specific mRNA codon recognition, and the 3' end, to which the tRNAs corresponding amino acid is attached (by aminoacyl-tRNA synthetases). tRNAs cope with the degeneracy of the genetic code in two manners: having more than one tRNA (with a specific anti-codon) for a particular amino acid; and 'wobble' base-pairing, i.e. permitting non-standard base-pairing at the 3rd anti-codon position. Lineage: Bacteria; Bacillati; Bacillota; Bacilli; Lactobacillales; Lactobacillaceae. The record is from RNAcentral.
UUCGGCAUAGCUCAAUGGUAGAGCGGCGUCAGAAUACGCGAUAUGUGGUUCGAUUCCCAUUACCGACA